Small nucleolar RNA from Callithrix jacchus (white-tufted-ear marmoset), 103 nucleotides. The record is from Ensembl. NCBI's taxonomy places the organism in Eukaryota, Metazoa, Chordata, Mammalia, Primates, Cebidae.
AUCUGUGGCUGAUGCCUUAAUCUGGGUUCUUGUUUUCACCCUAUUCUAUGAGAUGUGCCUCCCUCAAAACCCGUUACAACACUGGCACAUUACCCUUCUGAAA